ACAAUGGGCGCGGCGCCCGAGCCCCUGACAGCGCCAUAAAUUGGCCGUGCAAAGCCGAGCGCUAGGUGGUCCCCCCUGGAGAAAAGAGCCGCCGCCGAGGGCGCGAAAAGGCGAGUCCGGAAGCCCGCCAGGGAGCCAGUGGCGCGUUUUCCAGAUCACCCUGUUGGAACUUAGCGUAGCAGAGGAAGAACACCAUGGAAUAAGGAGAAAGGAGAUACAAGUAGCCUCUCCAGGAAGAAUGUGACUGAAUACUUUUUAUACAAAACCACAAAAUUAGAUAAAUAUGUAUUUAAGUGUUAUUCCUGAAAGCUGGAGAAAGAAAUCUUACUUCUAAGAAUUGUUUAGCGAAGGAAUAAGAAAAUGUGAUGCUUGGAAGAAAAAACACACUGCCGAGAGGCCUUGCGCUGAGUGUGCUGAACAAUAGACAACCUCUAAGGAUGCUCGCCUGCAAUUCCGGCUCUGCCAUCAAUUCACUGUAUGCCUUUGGAUCAUCUACAAGACAUGAAUGAUGUUCAGAAUUACUUGUCAUGCCCUUUGCUUGGGGCUGAAAACAAGAUGCAGUCACACAGAUUUCAAUGGAGUGUGUACUCUAGAGGCAGACUGCCUGGGAUCAAAAUGCUUGCAGUAUAACCAUUGACAGCUUCCAUAACUUAUCUCUUCCCAGGUUAAUCAACCUGUAAAAUGGGGUAAUAUCUGCUCCUCCCUCAUAGGGUUGUGCAUAAAAAUCUCAUGAGAUUAUAGGUGUAGAGAGUAUGCAACUAAGACAUGCCUGAGUGAAGUUUCCUAGGAGCCAGAUAAUUAAUCCAACAUUUAUCUGAAAUGCUGAACUAACUUGCAUAAUUCUUCAAAUGAAUAUCACACCUUCGAUGGGGACAUACAAAUUGUUUCAACCUGAGGCUUGAAAAUAUGUGUCAUAAAGCAUUCUGAUUUAUCAAGAACACGUUGUAAUUUGUUGCAUUUGGAAUGUAGCUACCUAACUUCCUGAAUAUUUUAAUAAAAUACCUGUAAAAUUACACAAUCAAAACUAUACCUCCACCAAGCAAAGUGACAGAGAUGGUACUAACAUCAACAAAAAGUGAGAAAACGAGAGCAAAGAGAGAUUAAGUUGUCAAAGAUCACUCAGCUGUCUCGUGAGCAUCCCCUAACACAGCAGAGAUAUCAAGUUGAUAAUAUAAAUUCAAGACAAAAUGUCUGAACACUCAUCAGAAACUGUCUUUUAGUUUGCAGAGAAAUUUGUGCCUGACAUUUGAAAUUUUCAAGAUAAAUAAAAAAAUCGUGGCCACAUA
RNAcentral lists this long non-coding RNA (1286 nucleotides) under Homo sapiens (human). Its description in RNAcentral is "uncharacterized LOC105373526, transcript variant 1 (LOC105373526)". The record is from RNAcentral. Lineage: Eukaryota; Metazoa; Chordata; Mammalia; Primates; Hominidae.